This 1433-nucleotide long non-coding RNA is filed under the name Equus caballus (horse). Its description in RNAcentral is "lncRNA (ENSECAG00000057588.1)". The record is from RNAcentral. Lineage: Eukaryota; Metazoa; Chordata; Mammalia; Perissodactyla; Equidae.
CCAGAAUAAAAGUAUGCAGAAGGAUCAUGUUCACCUGGUUGAGUCGGUUCUCAGUUUUUGACACAAGCUAAAGGAGGCCAAUGAUAAUUGGUGAGCAUGAAGAGAUGAUGACAGGCUGAUGACAUCAGCUUUUUCCUCCGGAAAUCAACCUUCCUUGAAGCUGUGUUGGUUGGAUUCUCCAGGGGUAGACACCAAGAGAGUUAGAAGUGAAAGAGAUUUAUUGGGGAAAAUGCCUAUGAAAGACAAAGGGAAGGAAGAACAGAAGUAGGCAGGAAAAGCCUUCAGACUGGAAUGCUGAUCUGACACCUGUGAAAGGAGAAGAAAAGAAAGGAUAAUCAGGAAGAAAGAUUUUAAGAUGACAGCGCAAUUUGAUGAAAGUGUCAGGCAGCUGAACAGGUUACUCUGGCACAAAGACAUCAAAUAAAGGAGUCUCUCGUUGGACAUAAAUUACCAGAUCCUAUUACCCGGCCAUACUCAGUCAUUUUAAUGGGCUGCCUUGGAAGAACAUGGCCUGGGUUCAAACAUUGCAGCACGCCGUCCUCACAGCUGACCAGAAAAUUCUUUCUUUAAAGGAAAUCCAAGCAGCACACUUCGGUGAUGGCCACAUUCCACCUUGUGUGCUGCAUGAAUCCACUUUUCCAUAUAUGCUUGGGUUAUAGACCUUCCAGGUUCCAAUUGACCUCUCUUUGUGUGGUGAAACUUAGAAGACGGAGAUUAAUGGGACAAACUUUGGGACCUCAUCAUGCCCAUAAUUAUGAACAAGCCAAGUUUAUGACCAUCAACCAAGAACAAUGGUGCCCAUCUCUCCAGUGCAUUCCUGAAGGCCUUGGUGAAUCGCAUGUUUCUUCAAGUUUCCCAUUAAACGGCUGAUGGAUCUUCUGCCCUCACAUAAUAUAUCUGUUCCAGCAUGUCCACUUCCCUGAGCCUUUUCAUCCUUUCCCACACUGUUGGCCAUGCAUGCCUCCAACUGACUUCCUGGGAGACAACAACUCUUCUGAUAUCAUAGGAAUUAAUGUAAUUUACCUUCUGAUGUGAAAGGAAUUUUUAUGUGCCAUAACUUAACUGUCCUCCUGUUGCUUUGUUGUUCUUAUGAAUAUUGCAAACUAUGGAUUAUGUAGGUUAAAAGUGAAUUGCAUUAUGAUUAUGACGUUUUUAUUGUUGAAGUGUCUGAUUUAGUUAUUUGUUAUACCGUUUUGUUUUAUAUUUUAUUAGUGUUUGUAUUUUGCAAUCAAGUCUGAUGGUCCAGUAUGGCAAUUUUUGAAGGAUGUUGGAUGGAAGAGGAUGCUUCUAGAGUUAGGCCUAUGAAUAACUCUCAUACAGUAGGUGAUGAAGAAUUAUAAUCUUCUUGGUUAUUUCAGUGCACUAGUACAUCAAGGGAGACCCCCAGAAAAGUUCUUUCAUUACAAGUGAAAAUAUUUAUCAAUGGAUUUUGC